UCUCUUUGAAUGGGGCAAUUCCCACUCAGCUGGCUAUUUUCCCCAAAAUAGUAUAGGAGGGAUAUUUUUGACUGUCUUCCUUAUUAACUCAAAAAGUCCCUUCAGCCUCCUCCCUUAGGAAUUGAGUGAAAAGUUGGAUGUUGGAUGAAGAAUUUAUCUGAGAGGAAAUUUCUGGGGCUUGGGGAAUAUUCGACUGUGGAGUUCUGUUUCUGAGUUUCUCCGUGAACGCAGGAACAUCUUCACUGUUUUUUAGCGUAUGCUUUAUGCUUUCAAGUUUGGGGAACGUCCACGUCUUGGAUUUCAGCACAUAGUCACUUGUCAGUUGCCCACUUUGGUGAGAAGAUGAGUAGCAAUGAAUCAUCUCCUUCUUCUUUUUGGUGGAUAGCUGUAUAAUUUCUCCUGAAUUGGGCCUAUUGCUGAAAAGUCAGCUCACGUCCAUAUAUCAUCUCUCCUGUUUGGAAGCUGGACCAGAGAAGACAAUGGUUUCCCCUGUGCCAUCCAACUUCCCCACUCACCAUCUUGUUUCGGGGACCAUCCUGUGAAGGCACAGCAUAAACCUCGAAGAGGGAUGUUUCAAGCAUUAGUCAGGGAGCAAGGAUGACUCUGUGGCCCUUCAAGGUGUCUGUGAAACCAAGGCAAUGAGAAAGUAUGUGCGGGAGACAUCUGCAUGGGCACACCCCAAUAACCUGGAAAUAAGGGAAAUAUGAUUGCCUUCUGGCACUUAUACUGUGAAGUCAACACAAAAUGGGUCAUAGCAGAGUCCUGCAGAGCCGCCUUAAGGAAGUGGAAUGCCUUCCAGGUUUUGUCUGGGUGGCCAAAGGAACCAAGAGGAUUAUCUGUACUCUGAAAUCACACUUUUCCCAAAUAUCCCAUGGUAAGGACUUAUUCUGCAGUUACCUCCACUGUCUGCUGGCUUGUCUGUAAAAAGGAGGAGAAAUUGCAGAAAAGCAUGAACAGGUAAGAGCUCCACUCUCUAAACUACUCGUUAACGGAGAAGGAUUGGAAGGUAUGGGCUUGGUGUUUGGGCAAUGGGAGGUGCAGGUCACAUGACAGGGCUGGAGGCAAUGUGGCAUAAAGGUGGGAGCAUGGCCAGAAUAAGUGUGAGCAUCAAAUCUAAAACUAAAGAGCUGUGAGAGGCAGGGCCUGUGGCCUAGUGGUUAAGUUUGGCAG
This is a long non-coding RNA of Equus caballus (horse), 1170 nucleotides long. RefSeq lists it as uncharacterized. Lineage: Eukaryota; Metazoa; Chordata; Mammalia; Perissodactyla; Equidae. The record is from RefSeq and is a predicted model, not a curated record.